GCACUUCUGAGGAGUUCACAAUAAGACGAAACGGUCGUCCAGUAC
This 45-nucleotide non-coding RNA is filed under the name Schistosoma mattheei. Lineage: Eukaryota; Metazoa; Platyhelminthes; Trematoda; Strigeidida; Schistosomatidae. The record is from RNAcentral.